GUAAACAAGGGAGUUAGCAUAGUUUCCUUUCAAUACAGCACUCUUGAUAAAAUGUUUGUAGUAUAACAAAUAAAAACAUUUUCUUGGACUCUCCAGGAAAUUAAUGGCUUAUUUUUCCUGGCAGACUGAUGUGAGGGAUACUAAAUUACCUUCCACUGAUUAAAGACAAGCCACUGCCUCUAGGCAAAGAGAAAAAGAAAAGAAUUAACCAAGCCCUUAGCAAAAGGAGGCAGUGGUGAAAGUUAGGUAAACAAUUCGGAUCUUCUUUGAUCGGACAGUGCAGCUUCCAGAUGCCACAAAACGCUGAGAACCUGGAAGCUGCUCGGGAGACUUCUUAUGUGGAGAGGAACCUCGGCACUUUCUAAGGACCUACUCUGUGCUUGACUGUCACUUAAUUUCCCACCAAGCAAGUAUCCUGUAAGGCUUGUAAGCCGCCACCAAAGUGUAAGUGACAAUCCAGCAACAGCACCAUCCUCCCCAUUUGACCCUUCAAUCUACACUUCUAUAGAGCAGGCUGCCUCAAGUGUGAGCCCCAACCCAGCCCCACGGACCCCGAUGGCUCUGCAGUCUCACCUGGGCCCCUUCCUUCUCUCACUGGCCACUGUCAGCAGGAAGCAGAUACAAAAGAAAGAGAAACUUGCUCAUGUGUUGAAGAUCUGACUUGGUUGAUCUGCCAGAGAAGAAAAUGUAGAGGUCAAACAGGCAGAACAUGGAUUAAUCCAGUGACAGCACAGUUAGAGCCUCCUGAACUAUCAGCUGUCCUGAACCAGCAUGUACCAAAUGACCACAGUAUUCUGCACAGGCUAAAGGACAUGAAAAAGUAAAUAAUAAGCAUUACUUUGAUGGGAAACACUCAGGUUCUUCCCCUGUGUCUGUGGCCCUUUUCUUAGAGUUGAUGCACAUAGGUGUCCUCAUUGGGAGCCUUACGUGCCUUCUCUGAGAAUUAAAGUAGUGAUGACACCAAACUGACUUCUUUAACAUGUAACUAUUGUCCUACAGGUGCUCUUGUGACAUAGAAUGCAAGCUACCCUUUCUGAUGCUUGUUUUGACCACCUUGUUCCAUUUCCACAUCCUCAAACCCUUAUAAAAACUCAGCCUCUCACUGUAAUGGCAUGGUCCUUCUUGGACUUGCCCACUGCUCCCUCAUAGUGCAUCAAUAAAUUCUUAACUUUUCUGCAUUCCUUGAUUAUUGAUAAAUUAUUUUACUGCUCAUGAUACCAGCCAUUCACACACCACACCUCCCAAGCAGGUAUAUUGCAAAUUCUAGCCCAGCCCCUUAAAAAAUAUAUAAAGAAAAACACUUAUAGUAUACCAAGAAAUGAGAGAAAAUGAAUGAGGAAAUGCUUAAUUAAAACCAGAAAAGAGAGAAAAGAGGAUAAGACAAAGAGAUUUUUGAAACAAGAGUAAAGAAUAGAAAAAUAUAAUAAAUACAG
Heterocephalus glaber (naked mole-rat) is the source of this 1433-nucleotide long non-coding RNA. The record is from Ensembl. NCBI's taxonomy places the organism in Eukaryota, Metazoa, Chordata, Mammalia, Rodentia, Bathyergidae.